Molecule: long non-coding RNA, 754 nt
Filed under: Panax ginseng (ginseng)
Lineage: Eukaryota; Viridiplantae; Streptophyta; Magnoliopsida; Apiales; Araliaceae
Description: long non-coding RNA (PGIN_LNC013021)
Source: RNAcentral
UUGCUUUAAUUUAUUCUACGUACCAUAGGACUUGUAACAACAUUGUCACCUCUUUAUAAUUUCUUCAAACUGCUCAUCGUAUCAUAUACAUAUAUAUAUAUAUAUAUAUAUAUAUAUAUAUAUAUAAUUAUCAGAAAUGGAUGUAUUUAUUUCGGAAGAAUAUGUAAUGAGAAGAAGAAUCGAGAAAAGGGCAGCUGCAAGUGGAACCAGAUCAGAAUCCGGCAGGCCGAGGAGGAGUAGUGAUCAUCAUCAUGACAAAGAGAACAAAGCCCGGCCAUCGCCUGCUGCUGCUGCUACUUAUCAGAAUGAUAACGUAGUUUUUAGCUGCCUCUCCGCUUAAUUACUGCAUCUAAAUGCAUGUACAUUGUAUUCGUAGCUAGCUAGCAUUUUCGAUUGUGUUAAUGUAGCUUAUUUAUCUUUUUAGAUAGAAAAUAUUUGUACGUUCAUUUUUAUUUGCAGAUUUCAAAAAAUAAAUAAUUAAUGACUAUAUAACUCAAUUUGGUUCAAUUACAUAUUUUUAAUAAAUUUUACAAUAUAGAAUUUUUACUCUCAACUUUAAUCAAAUAUUACCUACCAGAUAUUAAUUAUAUUUCUUAAUCUAGGUUUAUCCUAAAAUGUCAAUCAAAAAGGAACAACCAGAGUAAUAAACAAUUAAUUAUAAGUACUCCGCAUUAAUUAGCUCUUAAAAUUUAUUUUAGACUCUACUAUUUGAUACAGGACCUGCUUACUAUUUUUAUGUAUAUUUAGACCUGAC